AUACUGAUAUUUUAAAUCAGUAACUCGCAAGUGAUCUCAAUCGAUAAGUUUUCGCUAUCGCUUUAAUGUGGGAACAUAUGUACAUUGUAUAUUCUAUAAUGAAAGUAAAGAACAUAAAAAAUCAAACUUCGUAUAUUUGUGGCAAUCGUUCGAAGAAAUGUUCAAUUUUAAGACUUUUGAUAUGCCCUUUGAAAUCACUUCCCUAGUGUUUAGAAAUGUGUAGUAUUUACACGAAUCAGGUGAAACAUAUCUCUUCUAAACCGAUGACUAAAACAUACAAAUAGCGUCCACCAGGAUGAUUACUAGCCGAGAGUACUAUUAAUGCGAGUUGUUUUGUUUAUUCCACUUUAAGAUUCCUGUAGUGGUAUAAAGUAAGUGCCGGCCCUUCUCCAUCUUGUGUAAAAAGUUUUUUGACAAACUGUACAUACUGUCAGUAUCGAAGGAACGCGGUGUCAUUUGGUGACUAUCCAGGUGAGUACAACCCCAAGGUGCACGGGCCCUAAGACCCCGCUCGCUUCUACGGUAAAGCCUGGCUGGGACGCCGCAACAAGACGCCCAACGCUGUGGCCGGAGCCGUGAACCGUGCAUGCUGGCGCUGGCAGUACAACUACGUGUUCCCGAAGCGCGCCGUGAUCGCUCCCUUCUUCCAGCUGACCGUCGCCAGCAUGACGUUCUUCUGUCUGAUUAACUACACCAAGUUGAAGCACCACAGGAACUACAAUACCACUAAGGGUCGCUGCCCAGUGGUCCUGCAUCUACAACAGAUUCUACACUUUCCACAAGACGUGCCAGAGGCGGGCAGCACUAAACUAUAUCUAUUUGGCUUUUGUGUUUUGAAAACUGCUAAAGUGAAUAAAAUGGCUGUGAAUAUCCAUGCUGCCAUAGACUCAG
This 891-nucleotide long non-coding RNA is filed under the name Drosophila melanogaster (fruit fly). Its description in RNAcentral is "long non-coding RNA:sphinx (Dmel_CR34154)". The stretch from base 564 to 721 matches the Rfam family "Sphinx conserved region 2". Lineage: Eukaryota; Metazoa; Arthropoda; Insecta; Diptera; Drosophilidae. The record is from RNAcentral.